RNAcentral lists this ribosomal RNA (500 nucleotides) under uncultured bacterium. RNAcentral's name for it is "partial 16S ribosomal RNA". It matches the Rfam family "Bacterial small subunit ribosomal RNA", at positions 30 to 523 of the family's 1533-position model. The record is from RNAcentral.
AUUGAACGCUGGCGGAAUGCUUUACACAUGCAAGUCGAACGGCAGCACGGACUUCGGUCUGGUGGCGAGUGGCGAACGGGUGAGUAAUGUAUCGGAACGUGCCCAGUCGUGGGGGAUAACGUAGUGAAAAUUACGCUAAUACCGCAUACGAUCUAUGGAUGAAAGCGGGGGAUCGCAAGACCUCGCGCGAUUGGAGCGGCCGAUAUCAGAUUAGGUAGUUGGUGGGGUAAAGGCCCACCAAGACAACGAUCUGUAGCUGGUCUGAGAGGACGACCGGCCACACUGGGACUGAGACACGGUCCAGACUCCUACAGGAGGCAGCAGUGGGGAAUUUUGGACAAUGGGCGAAAGCCUGAUCCAGCCAUUCCGCGUGCAGGAUGAAGGCCCUCGGGUUGUAAACUGCUUUUGUACAGAACGAAAAGGUUUCUACUAAUACUAGGAGCUCAUGACGGUACUGUAAGAAUAAGCACCGGCUAACUACGUGCCAGCCGCCGCCGUAA